Molecule: ribosomal RNA, 435 nt
Filed under: Polynucleobacter sp. Fw70s-39
Lineage: Bacteria; Pseudomonadati; Pseudomonadota; Betaproteobacteria; Burkholderiales; Burkholderiaceae
Description: bacterial SSU rRNA
Rfam family: Bacterial small subunit ribosomal RNA
Source: RNAcentral
AUUGAACGCUGGCGGCAUGCCUUACACAUGCAAGUCGAACGGCAGCACGGGUGCUUGCACCUGGUGGCGAGUGGCGAACGGGUGAGUAAUACAUCGGAACGUACCUUAUCGUGGGGGAUAACGCAGCGAAAGCUGUGCUAAUACCGCAUACGCCCUGAGGGGGAAAGCGGGGGAUCGAAAGACCUCGCGCGAUUAGAGCGGCCGAUGCCUGAUUAGCUUGUUGGUGGGGUAAAAGCCCACCAAGGCGACGAUCAGUAGCUGGUCUGAGAGGACGAUCAGCCACACUGGGACUGAGACACGGCCCAGACUCCUACGGGAGGCAGCAGUGGGGAAUUUUGGACAAUGGGGGAAACCCUGAUCCAGCAAUGCCGCGUGAGUGAAGAAGGCCUUCGGGUUGUAAAGCUCUUUUGUCAGGGAAGAAACACCGGCUCUAAC